AUUGAACGCUGGCGGCAUGCCUUACACAUGCAAGUCGAACGGUAACAGGUCUUCGGAUGCUGACGAGUGGUGAACGGGUGAGUAAUACAUCGGAACGUGCCUAGUAGUGGGGGAUAACCACUCGAAAGAGUGGCUAAUACCGCAUGAGAUCUACGGAUGAAAGCAGGGGAUCGCAAGACCUUGUGCUACUAGAGCGGCCGAUGGCAGAUUAGGUAGUUGGUGGGAUAAAAGCUUACCAAGCCGACGAUCUGUAGCUGGUCUGAGAGGACGAUCAGCCACACUGGGACUGAGACACGGCCCAGACUCCUACGGGAGGCAGCAGUGGGGAAUUUUGGACAAUGGGCGCAAGCCUGAUCCAGCAAUGCCGCGUGCAGGAUGAAGGCCUUCGGGUUGUAAACUGCUUUUGUACGGAACGAAAAGCCCUGGGUUAAUACCCUGGGGUCAUGACGGUACCGUAAGAAUAAGCACCGGCUAACUACGUGCCAGCAGCCGCAGUAA
Molecule: ribosomal RNA, 498 nt
Filed under: uncultured bacterium
Lineage: Bacteria
Description: partial 16S ribosomal RNA
Rfam family: Bacterial small subunit ribosomal RNA
Source: RNAcentral